UACGGGGGGGGCAAGCGUUGUUCGGAAUUACUGGGCGUAAAGGGCUCGUAGGUGGCCAACUAAGUCGGACGUGAAAUCCCUCGGCUUAACCGGGGAACUGCGUCUGAUACUGGAUGGCUUGAGUUCGGGAGAGGGAUGCGGAAUUCCAGGUGUAGCGGUGAAAUGCGUAGAUAUCAUGAGGAAGACCAGUGGCGAAGGCGGGUCUCUGGACAGUUCCUGACACUGAGACACGAAGGCCAGGGGAGCAAACGGG
Molecule: ribosomal RNA, 253 nt
Filed under: uncultured bacterium
Lineage: Bacteria
Description: partial 16S ribosomal RNA
Rfam family: Bacterial small subunit ribosomal RNA
Source: RNAcentral